GAGGUCCAUUGGGCUCAAAUUAAUCUAAGCCCAUUUUCCUUUUAAGCCUAGUUUUUUCUUAUAAAUUACUAACAAAAACCCUAAUUUAAAGAGACUAAAAAAUUUUCCCCAUCCUCAUACAAACUACACGGUCACUCCACAGCCUGUAGUGUUUUUACCUCUCAAAAACCAGUAACUAUUCACCAAUUAUCAUCAUCAUAAAAUAUUUUCAUAUAGCAUUAGCCUACACCGUCAACACCGAUCUUCACCUCUUUACAACACAAAAUCACAAUGAGCACAGCAGUUCGGGAGAACAAACAGAAGCAUCAUCGUCAUCAUCAACACAACAACGAUAAACAGAACCCAUUUUUUUAUUUCAAUAACAACAAUUGCUCUUUUCUGUUGUGUUUAUGGCAGGUAACAGAAAAUUUGGGACAGGUGCAAGGAAUAAAUCAAAAUGGAAAACACCAGUGUUACAGAUCCAAUAUCGAUCCGCCGCCACCACGCGUGACAUCUCCGAUCUGCUCCGCUUCGCACCACCGCUUCACGGCCGCCGCGGAUCCACUAUGAAAUCAACAACGGUCAUCGUCUUCUCGAUCACACAACCGCUCAGCCAUCCUCCGACAGAACGCCGCAUCCACCGAUCUCAGAUCCACUGCAACCGCCGGUCAAACACCACCGCACCAGAUACGGAACCAUGCCCAAUCGUGAUUCCACCGACGAGAAAAACAAAUCCAUAUAGAGCACUGCCGUACGCGCAACCAUCAUGGUUUUUUUCUUCCGCUCCCGGUACCACUCGAUAUUGAGACUCUCGCAUUUCAUGGACAUGGACAUUUAUACUUUGCACUUUUAAUUAAUUCGGGGUUAGCCAAUCGUCAAAGCUUAAUAGUCGGGUAAUUGUCAAAUGACUUCCAACUACGCGCCCGGUCAAGACUCAAAGCUAAGUACCCUAUUUUAUUUUGUUUUCAUUUUGAUUUUAGGGUUUGCCCUUAUAUUUCUUGAACUGUGCAUACGUUCACUCUUUUGUUUCUGCCUUUGCCCUUUUCAGGUUUAUUUCCGAGGUUUCCUCCGACUGCCAACCCUAUCAGAUCAAAUGCAAAGCUAAGUUGCUUCUUAUUUAUUUAUUUAAAUUCUUUAUCUUUUUGUUUUUUUGGGUUAACUGUGUUUGACUCUGAACCGAUAAUGCACUCACCCCCUUUUGUUUAUUUCUUUCUUUUCUAAUUUUCAGGGUUUGUCGACUGUCAAAGCUACGAGUAUUGGUAACCCUAAACCCUAACCCUGAUAUUUUUAUCUUUUAUUAUUACUUAUGCCAAACCCUAUUAAGGGAUCCGCUGGUUUCAUUUUCCCCUCCCCCAUAUUACUGUUUCUUGCCUUAUAUUAUCUGCGUCUUAUAUUAUCUGCGUGGUUAGUAAAAUAGGGAGUGACAACCAUUAAAUUGAAUUAGCCUCACUAAUUUACAAGAUAAUAUAAUUGAAUAUAGUCACGUGAUUGGCGCACACACGCACGCUUUUGGGUAACCCUCUCUGUUGCCUUGUUGCCUGUUGCCUUGUUGCCUUGUGUUUUUGCAAAAUAGCCAGUCCCUCGAAUAUGAGGAUACCUUAGCCAUGUUGCCUCGAUAAAAGGUCAUGAGACCCUAAAAAUGAUGCUGCCUUCGAUACACUAACAUGACCUCGACCCUCGAAAGUUGCCCACGAAUAAGGCUGAGGUAUCUUCUGGUUGCCUACGAAAGGCUAUUCUGAUCCUUCCCCUUAGACUACCUGCCUCUCUAUGGCAUGGGUCAGUCUUUGAGCGAAUGAUAAUUCGAUGACCCUUCUACCUCCAAACGAAAGGCUUCCUGCCCUCUUAUGGCAAGGACUGACCCUUUCAUUCUGAAAGGCUAAAAAGAGACCUAUCAUCUGAGUUUAAGAUAAUUGCCCUUAAUUGCCUUGCCAUGCUCUAUUUUCUAUAUUCUUUCUCAAAAUUCUUCAAAAAACUGGCUACGCUCAUUUUACGAGCUAAAGUCCAUUUUUUCCUCUUUCAUCUACAUUUUCUGAAAACGAGCAAGCAAAGCAAUUAAGAGCCCAUGGAAAACCAUGGAUGCAAAGGGUGCCUUACACCUUCCCUUUGCAUAAAUUACCCCCCGAACUUAGAUUUCUUUAAAAGGUUUUUUUCUGUUUCUUUAAGCCUUUCUGAAUUUGUUUGGAUAAAAUAAAAGUCGGUGGCGACUCUUGCUUAACCGCGACAUUCCGAUCGAUAAAAAAGUCAGUUCACCGUAUUACAGAACUGGCGACUCUGCUGGGGAUUAAAAUUUCGAUAAAAUAGGGGUUACCUUAAAAGUUUAGGAUUCACCUUAAAUGUUUUCUAUUGUUUGCUUUGUUUGCUUUAAUUUUGCAGGGCUGUUUUGGGUAUUUUGCUGUGUGAAAGAUCCUAACCCGGAUCUGAGUACCUUAAGUAUAUGGCAUGAGAUCAAGGAGACUGCACAGCGUAUACUGAUGUGGUUGAUCUGAUGGCCAUCGUUAGUGUGACACAUUGGUUUGUCCUGGUGUUCCUUGGGACCCGACCUGAGGAAAUGCUUGGCUGCCGCGUGGUGUCAUUAAGCACUAAUUUGCCCUUAGAACCUUAGUCGGACUUGACUUUAGCCUAUUAGAAAGUAGCGAGAUGGCUGGCUUUGGUUCCGACUGAAGUUGGUUGAUACUCGAAGCUACACUCAUAUGGACUGGACUUUCAGGACCUUUUCGGUUGGCGAUUCGAUUGCCGAACUGAGAUAAGCGCCUUUGAGAAAGGUCAAUGAUAUGAGCUCCUUAGAACCCGAUCUUUAUAUAGGACAGGUUGAACCAACUAAACUUCAGUGGGGAGGGUACUUACCUACGAACUUCAUGCAAGCCUCUAAACCUAAGGGCACUUGUGUGACUUGUUUGCGUUUUCUACUAACCUUUGUUUUCUUACAGGUUUUGUUAAAAGACUUGUUUACCCUCACUAUUCCAUCAUGUGCCUAAUGAGGUGAAUUCUUAUAACAUACUAACCUUUGUUUCCUUGCAGGUUUUGUUGAAGGACCUUUUUGCCCUUACUAUCUCACACUAAGUCUAAUGGAUUGCAUCCGCAUAACAUUCAUGACAUCAUGACAUCAUAAGCAUAACAUGAUUUAACUAACCCUUUCAAGGAUCUUAGGAAUUUAGGGCGCGCAAUUUCAGGUGCUCUUAUCAAAGACAAAAUUCCUAUCAAGGGGCAAGAGAAUUUACUUUCCUCUGGCCACAUACCUUCCAAUUUAGAGACUCAGUACCUAUCAAGGGGCAAGAGGAUUUAUUUUCCUCUAGCCGUGUACUUUCAAAUUCAGAAGUAUCCCGAAUCAAGAGGCGAUGACCCACUCGAUAUGGUGAGCUUGAUUCUCAAAGGAAGACGUUCAAAGACAAAAUUCAGAAUCCUUCAGACAAAGAUGCAACCAAAGUCGACCAACUGGUCAGAAAAAUAUCAUCAACAAAUCAAUCCUAAUCAGAUGAACAUUCUGGAAGCUUGACCCCCAGACUUCUGAAAGUUCCAAUUAGAUGAACAUUCUGGAAGCUUGACCCCCAGACUUCUGAAACAAUCCUAAUCAGAUGAACAUUCUGGAAGCUUGACCCCCAGACUUCUGAAAGUUCCAAUCAGAUGAACAUUCUGGAAGCUUGACCCCCAGACUUCUGAAACAAUCCUAAUUAGAUGAACAUUCUGGAAGCGUGACCCCCAGACUUCUGAAAGUUCCAAUCAGAUGAACAUUCUGGAAGCUUGACCCCCAGACUUCUGAAAUAAUCCCAAUCAGAUGAACAUUCUGGAAGCUUGACCCCCAGACUUCUGAAACAAUCCUAAUCAGAUGAACAUUCUGGAAGCUUGACCCCCAGACUUCUGAAAGUUCAAAUCAGAUGAACAUUCUGGAAGCUUGACCCCCAGACUUCUGAAACAUUCCAAUCAGAUAUACAUUCCGGAAGCUCGAACCCUGGACAUUCUGAAAGUUCCAAUCAGAUGAACAUUCUGGAAGCUUGACCCCCAGACUUCUGAAACAUUCCAAUCAGAUAUACAUUCUGGAAGCUCGAACCCCGGACAUUCUGAAACAUCCUUAUCAGAUACACACUCCGGAAGCUCGAACCACGGAUACUCUGAAUCUCUACACCAGUUCCACAACAACGACGCAAGCCAGAUGCACCUAAGAGUCAAUUCACCAAAAUUAAUAUGUCAUCGGCUCAAACAUUACAACAUCUGUUGAAGAUCAGAUUGAUUACUCUGAGGGAUGCUCCUGAGAAUUCUAACACCUCUGGCUAUAAACUCAAUGCGAGGUGCGCGUACCAUCCCAACAUUCCUGGACAUUACACAAACAAUUGCUGGACAUUGAAGAAUAAGAUUCAAGAUCUGAUCAAUGACAGAGAAAUCAAAUUCAACCCUCUUGAAACUCCUGUGGUGAUCACCGCUCAUAUGCCUAAUCACAACAAGACUAAUUGACGUCUAGACGGACGGACUUUUGGAUCAUUAGAUCUACUUUCAUUUGCAAUUUUCUUUUCUGUUUGUUUAAACAUUUGACUCAUGAUAGACAUUAUCUGUUUUAAUAAUCAUCAUCAGUGCAUUGCAUAUGUUUGUCUUGAAUAAAUUAUUUCGCUAUCACUCAUUUAAACUGCAUCUUUACUUUGCAUAUGUUUUGUGAUACUCGACUCCUGCUAAAGCUGUAUGCCUUUUAAGGGAGGAUGACGAAAACGAUACCGCAACCUCAUACAAUAUGCUUUUAAACAGACUAUGUUGACGAUGUACAGGCAUUGUUUCGAUUCCUAAAUAGUGGAGAUAUAAGGAUGUUAAUCCCUCGUCAACCCCUUUGAGCCUAAGAAGUAGAAGUUUCUUUCUUGUGCUAAUUAAAACCCUUGAUCAUAACCCGGGGCAAGGUAGUUCUCAGUUAAUUUGGUUGUGCAUUCUAUUUUAAGAGAAUCAUUCAGUACACCUUUCAACAAAGGUUUCAAUCACAAGCGUUCAUCCGCACACAUCAAAGAAGUGUUGGAGAUGUCAAUCAAAAGAUAAUGACGGUUCAUCAAUCAUCAAACAAGGCAGUCAAUAUCUUUCAAAAAAGAAAAAUGGAAAAAACAUAUAUACAAAGAAAAGCCUGCUAAGUCAAAAAUCAAAAAGAAGACUUAGGCAAAAAUCAAGGCGUCCCGCUGACUGUAAGCUCAAAAGAGAUAGUUCAGGCAAAAGUUAGGGAUAUCAAAAAGAUGAAAGAAGAGAAGUCAAUAAAUUCCUGAACAACACAAUGUUGUGACUACCAAAAGGAAGAAGUGACUUCCAUCUCAAAAAGUUCUCUUUGUUUGUGAACCAUCAACAUUAUCAAAGGCGCAAAUCCCAAAGUCUCUUGGAACCCGAAUGCAUAAGUUGAAUUAACUGAGUUUAGGACUGAAGAACAUCACGAAGAAGGGGAUGGGUAUAAAUAAAUUUUGAGCCAUUAUCCUUUGUUUCUUAAACCGUGAACCAAGCCACGUUACAACCCUUGAAAGUCCUAACUGAAGCAUGGUUAGUUCGAAAGCAUACUGUCAUAAAAAAGGUAUCCCGACUCCUUAAGGUUUAUCACAAAUGCUAAGUUGAUACAAACCUCAUGUUUUUACAAAUAUCAUGUUUUUACAAACAUCACGCUUUUACAUCUCAUGCUAAUGGUUUUCAAAAACUCAAGACAAACGUAUGCAUUGCAUCUCAUGAAUUCAUUAUUAAACAUAUUCUGCUACAUAAUUUCAAAUGUUAGCAUCAGAAAGAACUUGCGCAGGGUACAACUAAUGACUGAAAGUUAUCCCGACAGACAAUAUUACUCCAAGAAGCAAUGUCUCUUACGUAUACAAGGGGCAUGACAUGGUUUGCCCAAUCAAUAUGGGGCAAUCAAGUCAAGAAACGAAGAAUCUCUUGAAUGCCAAAAAGUCAAAGGCAUAUAUCCCAAGCGGAUUUCAAACUAUUCCCCCGGUCAAUCUGGGGCAAUCAAGACAAGAUUUCAAGAAUAUCUCAAGGAUGCCAAAACAAUCAGGGGCAUGCAGCCAAGUAGAUAUGGAGCUACUUCUCAACCAACAUAGGACAUUGUCUUGGGCCUAUGAUUACGAGGGGCAUGACACCCAUAGUGCACAUCUCAUCAAGUCCUCACGAGGCAAAUCUUUCCAAAAGUCCCUGCUAGCAGGGGCAAAUCUAUGCAAGUUCAGUUUGACAUCUUGAUCAAUACUCAGUGGUGUGUCCUAAUCAAUAUAAAUCAUUGGGGGCAAUAAUCAAAGCAUUCAUGCCUUUCCACAAAGCCGGCUACACAGGAUCAUAUCCCCCACAGAGUAAUCAUUAAGAAGAUACCUUCAAAUGUUCUUGCCCAACAAAAGACAUAGCUCCUCAACAGAGUUCACAUCUUCGACACCGUCAGUUCCCCGACCUUCUUCUCUUCUCCAAACAUGGUUCAUUAAUAUCUCUAAUCCCCAAUCAGGGUACAUCAAAUUACUACUCAUCCCCAAGCAGAAAUCAUAAAUCCCCAGCUGAGCAUCUCCAAGAAAAGAUCAAAACAUCAAACUCACAAUGACAUAGAGAUUUAUCUUCUCAAUCAAGAUGCUUCGAGUAACAUAAAUCAAAGCCAUACAUCAUAUACAUCACAUGCAUUGCAUGUGGUUAUAAUUCAUACAUAACAUACAAAGCGUCCCAUUUAUUUUUGAGAACUCCAUCUCAUUCAUUACAUACAUCAUACACAGUGCAUAAAACUGACAUUGUUACCAAGUGAAUAUUAUCUGACAGGUACAUUACAAAGGUUCGAAUCUUAUUCAAAGCAAAGCCUAACGCACGGCCCUCCAGACAUCUACGGAUGCAAAUCGGAUUAGUCUAACGCACGACUCAUUCCUCGACCUAGCGCACGGUUUUCCAGACAUCUGAGGAUGCAAUUAAGAUUAGUCUAACGCACGACUUAUUCUUCGACCUAACGCACGGUUUUUCCAGACAUCUGAGGAUGCAAUUGAGAUUAGUCUAACGCACGACUUAUUCUUCGACCUAACGCACGGUUUUUCCAGACAUCUACGGAUGCAAAUCGGAUUAGUCUAACGCACGACUCAUUCCUCGACCUAGCGCACGGUUUUUCCAGACAUCUGAGGAUGCAAUUGAGAUUAGUCUAACGCACGACUUAUUCUUCGACCUAACGCACGGUUUUUCCAGACAUCUACGGAUGCAAAUUGGAUCUGAUCUAACGUACGACAUAUCCUUCAAGCCUAACGCACGGUUUUCCAAACAUCUGCUGAUGCAAACUAGACCCAGUCUAACGUACGACUCAACCUAAGUCUAUUCCUCAGAAACAGUCUAACGUACGACACAUUCUGACUCUCAAGUAUAUCAAGUCGGAUGACAUCUUCAAGUCCAUCUCCAUCACACAUCUUCUCCAAACACCUGGAUGGUAUCUUCAAGCCCAUCUCCGACAAAGGUCCCUACUUCAGCUAGGGCAAAUUUCUUGGUAUUCUAGUGUUCAAUCAUCUUCCACCUUCAGAUACCGACUGACAUACAAACCACUCUACAUCUUCAGGUUUAAGAAGAUUGAACAGGGGCAGCUGUCAUACCCCAAAAUUUGCCCUCGAGAUUUUUUGUUUUUUAGCGUAGGUUUUGCAUAUCAUUCGCAUAUUGACGUUAGGACAUUAACUUAAUUUUGCAUUAAUUAAAAAAAAAUAAAAAAAUAUGCAUUACAUGUUCAUCUUUCCGCACUUUGUUCGUUUUUACGAUUUAACAAUAUUUUCGAUUUACUAAUCCUUUUGUGAUUUACAAUUCUAAUUUUAAUUCAAUUUAGAUUUAAGUUGAAUUUUAAUUAAAAUUAGUAAAUUAUUUUACUAUAUUAUUAUUUGCAUUUGUUCUAUUUCAUUUUGUUUUUAAGGUUCAAAUAAAGAUGAGGUCCAUUGGGCUCAAAUUAAUCUAAGCCCAUUUUCCUUUUAAGCCUAGUUUUUUCUUAUAAAUUACUAACAAAAACCCUGAUUUAAAGAGACUAAAAAAUUUUCCCCAUCCUCAUACAAACUACACGGUCACUCCACAGCCUGUAGUGUUUUUACCUCUCAAAAACCAGUAACUAUUCACCAAUUAUCAUCAUCAUCAUAAAAUAUUUUCAUAUAGCAUUAGCCUACACCGUCAACACCGAUCUUCACCUCUUUACAACACAAAAUCACAAUGAGCACAGCAGUUCGGGAGAACAAACAGAAGCAUCAUCGUCAUCAUCAACACAACAACGAUAAACAGAACCCAUUUUUUUAUUUCAAUAACAACAAUUGCUCUUUUCUGUUGUGUUUAUGGCAGGUAACAGAAAAUUUGGGACAGGUGCAAGGAAUAAAUCAAAAUGGAAAACACCAGUGUUACAGAUCCAAUAUCGAUCCGCCGCCACCACGCGUGACAUCUCCGAUCUGCUCCGCUUCGCACCACCGCUUCACGGCCGCCGCGGAUCCACUAUGAAAUCAACAACGGUCAUCGUCUUCUCGAUCACACAACCGCUCAGCCAUCCUCCGACAGAACGCCGCAUCCACCGAUCUCAGAUCCACUGCAACCGCCGGUCAAACACCACCGCACCAGAUACGGAACCAUGCCCAAUCGUGAUUCCACCGACGAGAAAAACAAAUCCAUAUAGAGCACUGCCGUACGCGCAACCAUCAUGGUUUUUUUCUUCCGCUCCCGGUAACUUUUCUUUCGUGGAUUUUUGUUGAUCUUAGCACGUAUACUCGUUGUUAUUUUGAGUCUUCAGUUUCUUAUUGAUUGAUUGCUUUGAGUUUGAGAAGAAACAAAUUAAAAAUGGUGCUUUGAGUUUGAGGUGAGUGUACAGAUUUUAUUUCUUUUCUCUCUCUGUUUACUAAUCGCUGUGGUGUUAACAUGGAGACCACACAUUACUAAGGUAGAUUAGAUUUCUAUUGUUUUUAUGUUUGUUUUGCAUAACUAAUACAAUAGCUAUUAUCGGUGCAUCAGGUUCCUAAUUAAAGUUAUAGAAAACUUAACGUGAAAUAAAAAGAAAAAAAAUAUAUUUUCUUUGCUUUUUUUAUUUUAUUUAUGUUUUUGUUAUAAAAAAUGCCAAAAAAAUAAUAUUUGUUUUAAUAUUUUUUUAUAGAACGUAACAUGGUUAUUCUAGAAUUCUUUAUUUAAUUGUUUUGUUUUUACUAAUAAUUGUGCAUAUGUUAUGAUUUUUCAUCCUCAUUUUAUAUAUCCGUGCUAAUAUUUUGUUUUGAUUGCGAGGUACCACUCGAUAUUGAGACUCUCGCAUUUCAUGGACAUGGACAUUUAUACUUUGCACUUUUAAUUAAUUCGGGGUUAGCCAAUCGUCAAAGCUUAAUAGUCGGGUAAUUGUCAAAUGACUUCCAACUACGCGCCCGGUCAAGACUCAAAGCUAAGUACCCUAUUUUAUUUUGUUUUCAUUUUGAUUUUAGGGUUUGCCCUUAUAUUUCUUGAACUGUGCAUACGUUCACUCUUUUGUUUCUGCCUUUGCCCUUUUCAGGUUUAUUUCCGAGGUUUCCUCCGACUGCCAACCCUAUCAGAUCAAAUGCAAAGCUAAGUUUCUUUUUGUUUUUUUGGGUUAACUGUGUUUGACUCUGAACCGAUAAUGCACUCACCCCCUUUUGUUUAUUUCUUUCUUUUCUAAUUUUCAGGGUUUGUCGACUGCCAAAGCUACGAGUAUUGGUAACCCUAAACCCUAACCCUGAUAUUUUUAUCUUUUAUUAUUACUUAUGCCAAACCCUAUUAAGGGAUCCGCUGGUUUCAUUUUCCCCUCCCCCAUAUUACUGUUUCUUGCCUUAUAUUAUCUGCGUGUCUUAUAUUAUCUGCGUGGUUAGUAAAAUAGGGAGUGACAACCAUUAAAUUGAAUUAGCCUCACUAAUUUACAAGAUAAUAUAAUUGAAUAUAGUCACGUGAUUGGCGCACACACGCACGCUUUUGGGUAACCCUCUCUGUUGCCUUGUUGCCUGUUGCCUUGUUGCCUUGUGUUUUUGCAGAAUAGCCAGUCCCUCGAAUAUGAGGAUACCUUAGCCAUGUUGCCUCGAUAAAAGGUCAUGAGACCCUAAAAAUGAUGCUGCCUUCGAUACACUAACAUGACCUCGACCCUCGAAAGUUGCCCACGAAUAAGGCUGAGGUAUCUUCUGGUUGCCUACGAAAGGCUAUUCUGAUCCUUCCCCUUAGACUACCUGCCUCUCUAUGGCAUGGGUCAGUCUUUGAGCGAAUGAUAAUUCGAUGACCCUUCUACCUCCAAACGAAAGGCUUCCUGCCCUCUUAUGGCAAGGACUGACCCUUUCAUUCUGAAAGGCUAAAAAGAGACCUAUCAUCUGAGUUUAAGAUAAUUGCCCUUAAUUGCCUUGCCAUGCUCUAUUUUCUAUAUUCUUUCUCAAAAUUCUUCAAAAAACUGGCUACGCUCAUUUUACGAGCUAAAGUCCAUUUUUUCCUCUUUCAUCUACAUUUUCUGAAAACGAGCAAGCAAAGCAAUUAAGAGCCCAUGGAAAACCAUGGAUGCAAAGGGUGCCUUACACCUUCCCUUUGCAUAAAUUACCCCCCGAACUUAGAUUUCUUUAAAAGGUUUUUUUCUGUUUCUUUUAGCCUUUCUGAAUUUGUUUGGAUAAAAUAAAAGUCGGUGGCGACUCUUGAUUAACCGCGACAUUCC
Long non-coding RNA from Vicia villosa (hairy vetch), 10567 nucleotides. RefSeq lists it as uncharacterized. The record is from RefSeq and is a predicted model, not a curated record. NCBI's taxonomy places the organism in Eukaryota, Viridiplantae, Streptophyta, Magnoliopsida, Fabales, Fabaceae. The transcript is spliced from 2 exons.